Molecule: long non-coding RNA, 1886 nt
Organism: Asparagus officinalis (garden asparagus)
Lineage: Eukaryota; Viridiplantae; Streptophyta; Magnoliopsida; Asparagales; Asparagaceae
Exons: 14
Source: RefSeq, a predicted model, not a curated record
GAUUAUUGAAAAGUUAAUCUACUGUAGGCAUAUUUUCAGGUGCAUAUGUUUGUUUGUUUAGAGAAAAGUGAGGACUGUCAUCGCAGCUAUGUUGACAGAGAUGGUCAUGCGUGCAGUAUCAGAGACCAUUCGACUGGAUUGGACCAAGGGCGGACUUUAUUCCUGGCAUUGAUUAAUGAAAAUCCUGUUUGUGCCACUGGCCUGAUCUUCAGAAAUCCUUACGAUGAAGUUACAGUAAAGAAAACCUGCAGAAAAUGGUGAAUUGCUAAAUUUUACUUCUCUCACUCACAGGUGUACUCGAAGGUGUCUGGAGAACCAGCUUUGAAGGUUCCAACAGUACAUGCCAGCUCCAGGAUCUUUAUGGAAAUAGAAUAUGAUUAUAGCUCUACUUUCUACUCUCUCCAACUGGUUUAAUGCUUUCUAAAGUUUUGUUCUCUCCAUGUGUACUAUCACAUAUCAUAGAACUGAGGAAGAAAGCACAAAGACAAGAAAAAAGUUCAUGUGUACGCUAAUCAUAGAACUAAGCAAGUAUGUUCUAGUGGAUGAGGGCCUUCGCUUGAAAUUUGCACCCUCUUAGUAAGGGAAUUAAAACGCUUACCAAUGGAAAAUAACCUUCUUUUGACUGACCCUGAUUUUUGAUUUUUCGAGGAGGGCCAACGGUGACUUAGAGCAGGAAAAUAUUUGCACUAAGAGAAGGGUUGAGGUAAACUGGGACGAGGGUAUGGACUGAUGCGGCAAAUGUGAUGUUAAGGGUAACUCCACUAUCAAUUGGCUUCCGAAUGGCUCAUUGAACUAAAAAAAGUAUGUACGUCCACGUACUGCAGAAGUUCUCACGGUGUUCAUAGGUACAGGAGGAGGGACUAGUGUAAAGUUGGCAACAGCCCGUCCAGUGUUGUGCCAUUGACAUCAGAGACUAUUGAUCAGGUUGUACUUGAUGGAAAUAAAGACUUGUGAACUUGUAUGCACUAUGGUGUGGUCAUUGCAAAAAUCUUGCUCAACCUUUCGAAGGUAUCCAAUGCUUUAAACUGGAAGAGGAUGUUGUAAUAGCUAACCUUGAUGCGGAUAAUUACAAGAAUUUGGCUAAGAAGUUAUUUGGAAAGGCACAAGUCAUAGUUGCGGAACCUAGAGUUUGUUUACGAUUAUAUUGAAUUAUGUCGAUCAUUAUAUAUGGACAGCAAAGCUGGUGAAGACUAUGAUAGCGGUCGAGCCGUCGAGAUGUAAAUAACUUGUUAUUUUCGUUAAUGAAAGACGUGGCACUAGUCAGGCUUUAGUGAAGGAAUUUACCAGUGCUGUUGAUGAUGAGAGGAAGGCAGUCCUUGCUUGAAUUGGAGAGGAGGAGGAGAAACUCUUUAAGGGUUUCUUCAGCAAGAAGUUUAUCCACUUGCGGAAAAAUUGGUUGAACAGCUGGCAAAUUCCAGUUGCUAGACAGACUCUUAACCUUGCUACAUGUGCAGAAGCCUAAAGUUCUCAUUCUCUCAAUGGACUAAAGUCUUGAUAGUAAUUGAACAUUACAUUGGAAGAAGGUUAUUGAAACUUUUUGAUUGAUGAUAGUGUUAAAACUGGACGAAAGAAGAGGCAGGGGCGUGCACUUAAUAUUCCAACUAAGGCUUGAGCAGUUGGGAAAAUUAUCACACGGAUCACAAAAGGUAUUAGUUUCAACUGUGUAAGUGUCCUUUCUUAUACUUAGACCAACCUUUUUCUCCCUUCCUCAAAUUAUGUAGGUUAUUUGUUACACACUUGGUGAAAUAGUAGACAAAAGUCACGUACGAUGCUAUAUAAAGAUAUGAAUGUAAAGAGAAAUCCGAAAUACGUAGGGUGUAGUAAGGUUAUUUGCUACUUAUAUGUUUAUUUGCUUUGUUGAUUUUAAGUUACAUACAUUGACAUCA